This 492-nucleotide ribosomal RNA is filed under the name uncultured bacterium. RNAcentral's name for it is "partial 16S ribosomal RNA". It matches the Rfam family "Bacterial small subunit ribosomal RNA", at positions 29 to 507 of the family's 1533-position model. The record is from RNAcentral.
AGUGAACGCUGGCGGUAGGCCUAACACAUGCAAGUCGAACGGCAGCACAGUAAGAGCUUGCUCUUACGGGUGGCGAGUGGCGGACGGGUGAGGAAUACAUCGGAAUCUACUUUUUCGUGGGGGAUAACGUAGGGAAGCUUACGCUAAUACCGCAUACGACCUACGGGUGAAAGCAGGGGAUCUUCGGACCUUGCGCGAUUGAAUGAGCCGAUGUCGGAUUAGCUAGUUGGCGGGGUAAAGGCCCACCAGGGCGACGAUCCGUAGCUGGUCUGAGAGGAUGAUCAGCCACACUGGAACUGAGACACGGUCCAGACUCCUACGGGAGGCAGCAGUGGGGAAUAUUGGACAAUGGGCGCAAGCCUGAUCCAGCCAUACCGCGUGGGUGAAGAAGGCCUUCGGGUUGUAAAGCCCUUUUGUUGGGAAAGAAAAGCAGCAGGUUAAUACCCCGCUGUUCUGACGGUACCCAAAGAAUAAGCACCGGCUAACUUCGUG